AUGGGAAGCACCGUCGUGCUCUACACAUGGAUGGUCAGGGGUCACCUCCACCCCAUGACGCAGCUCGCGAAUCACCUCGCCGGACAUGGCGCUCCCGUCACCGUCGCCGUCGCCGAUGUUCCGUCCACAGGUGACUCCUCACAAACUAUUGCCCGCCUCUCUGCCUCCUACCCUGCUGUAUGCUUCCACCUGCUCCCGCCGGCAACAACCCGCUCCGAGGACGCGGCCGAUCCCAACGCCGACCCUUUCAUCACCCUCAUCGCCGACAUCCGCGCCACCAACGCCGCCCUCCUCGCCUUUCUGAGGUCUCUCCCGUCUGUGAAGGCUCUCAUCACCGACUUUUUCUGCGCGUACGGGCUUGACGCAGCCGCAGAGCUCGGUGUCCCAGCCUACGUGUUCUUCACCCUUUGCGUGUCGGCUCUUGCCACCUUCCUGCAUAUCCCCGUCAUGCGCUCCGCCGUCUCCUUCGGGGAGAUGGGGCGCUCCUUGCUGCACUUCCCUGGAGUUCACCCAAUUCCGGCGUCCGACUUGCCGGAGGUCCUGCUCGAUCGUGACAACAGGCAGUACAGUACCACUCUUGGUCUCUUCAAGCAGCUUCCCAGAGCGAAGGGCAUUCUGUCGAACACGUUCGAGUGGCUGGAGCCCCGCGCCGUGAAGGCGAUAAAGGAGGGAAUUCCCCGCCCCGGCGAGUCACUGCCGAAACUGUUCUGCGUCGGCCCAUUGGUCGGCGAGGAGAGAGGGAGCAACGCGAAUCACGAAUGCCUUGUGUGGCUGGACAAGCAGCCGGCGGGGAGCGUGGUGUUCGUCUGCUUCGGGAGCGCGAGCUCGGUGCCGGCGGAGCAGCUAAAUGAGAUAGCCGUGGGGCUGGAGAAGAGCGGUCACGCGUUCCUCUGGGCCGUGCGCGCGCCUGUCGCGCCGGAAGCCGACUCGACGAAGCGGUUCGAGGGGCGGGGUGACGCGGCGGUGGAUGCGCUGCUGCCGGAUGGAUUCUUGGACAGAACACGGGGACGCGGAAUGGUGCUGUCGUCCUGGGCGCCGCAGGUGGAGGUGCUCCGGCACCCGGCGACUGGAGCGUUUGUGACGCACUGCGGGUGGAACUCCACGCUGGAGGCGGUCAUGGCGGGGGUGCCGAUGCUGUGCUGGCCGAUGUACGCGGAGCAGAGGAUGAACAAGGUGUUCGUCGUGGAGGAGAUGAAACUUGGGGUGGCCUUGAACGGCUACGACGAGGCGAUGGUGAAAGCGGAGGAGGUAGAGGCGAAGGUGAGACUGGUCAUGGAGUCCGAGCAAGGGAACGAGAUCAGGCAGAGGAUGACGAAGGCGCAAGAGAUUGCUGCCAAUGCACUGGAGAUCGGUGGAUCCUCGGCGGCAGCAAUCAUUGACUUGCUGGAUAGUCUGAAGAUUUCGACAAACGACUGA
This 1416-nucleotide ribosomal RNA is filed under the name Triticum aestivum (bread wheat). RNAcentral describes it as "partial small subunit ribosomal RNA". The record is from RNAcentral. Lineage: Eukaryota; Viridiplantae; Streptophyta; Magnoliopsida; Poales; Poaceae.